UGCGUAGGCGGAAAAUUAAGUCAGUGGUGAAAUCCUGCAGCUCAACUGUAGAACUGUCAUUGAUACUGGUUUUCUUGAAUUUAGUUGAGGUAGGCGGAACGUGUAAUGUAGCGGUGAAAUGCUUAGAUAUUACACAGAACACCGAUUGCGAAGGCAGCUUACUAAGCUAACAUUGACGCUGAGGCACGAAAGCGUGGGGAGCGAACAGGAUUAGAUACCCUGGUAGUCC
RNAcentral lists this ribosomal RNA (229 nucleotides) under uncultured bacterium. RNAcentral's name for it is "partial 16S ribosomal RNA". It matches the Rfam family "Bacterial small subunit ribosomal RNA", at positions 568 to 796 of the family's 1533-position model. The record is from RNAcentral.